UACAGAGGGUGCAAGCGUUGUUCGGAAUUAUUGGGCGUAAAGCGCGUGUAGGCGGCCUGUUAUGUCGGGUGUGAAAGCCCUCAGCUUAACUGAGGAAGUGCGCCCGAAACUGGCAGGCUUGAGUACCGGAGAGGAGAGCGGAACACCCGGUGUAGAGGUGAAAUUCGUAGAUAUCGGGUAGAACACCAGUGGCGAAGGCGGCUCUCUGGCCCGGUACUGACGCUGAGGUGCGAAAGCGUGGGGAGCAAACAGG
Molecule: ribosomal RNA, 253 nt
Filed under: uncultured bacterium
Lineage: Bacteria
Description: partial 16S ribosomal RNA
Rfam family: Bacterial small subunit ribosomal RNA
Source: RNAcentral